Molecule: non-coding RNA, 264 nt
Organism: Peromyscus maniculatus bairdii (prairie deer mouse)
Lineage: Eukaryota; Metazoa; Chordata; Mammalia; Rodentia; Cricetidae
Source: RefSeq, a predicted model, not a curated record
AAACAAUUCUCUACUAUGACAUACAGCUACCUAUGUCCCCCAGCUCUGCUCAGCUUUCAACAGACUGACUACAUUAAAGAAUAUAUAGAAAGCAAGCAUUCUCAGUGAUGAAGAAAGGUGGGAAGACUCUAAUGAAAGAAGAGCACAUGCAGUGAUGAAGUACAUAAGAAUAUGUGAUUUCAGGAUUGCUGCAAUAUAAAACGAGCCAUGGAGUAGCCACUGAUGAGAGUGAGAAGGAAUGCCAAUGAAAUCCUGACAGGAGGA